UAACAAGGAUUCCCCUAGUAACUGCGAGUGAAGCGGGAAAAGCUCAAAUUUAAAAUCUGGCAGUCUUUGGCUGUCCGAGUUGUAAUCUAAAGAAGUGUUAUCCGCGCUGGACCGUGUACAAGUCUCCUGGAAUGGAGCGUCAUAGAGGGUGAGAAUCCCGUCUUUGACACGGACUGCCAGUGCUUUGUGAUGCGCUCUCAAAGAGUCGAGUUGUUUGGGAAUGCAGCUCAAAAUGGGUGGUAAAUUCCAUCUAAAGCUAAAUAUUGGCGAGAGACCGAUAGCGAACAAGUACCGUGAGGGAAAGAUGAAAAGAACUUUGGAAAGAGAGUUAAACAGUACGUGAAAUUGCUGAAAGGGAAACGCUUGAAGUCAGUCGCAUUGGCUGAGAAUCAACCUUGCUUUUGCUGGGUGUACUUCUCAGUCAAUGGGUCAACAUCAAUUUUGACUGUUGGAUAAAGUCUGAAGGAAUGUGGCAUCUUCGGAUGUGUUAUAGCCUUUAGUCGCAUACAACAGUUGGGAUUGAGGAACUCAGCACGCCGCAAGGGCGGGUACUGUCCACGUUCGUGCUUAGGAUGCUGGCAUAAUGGCUUUAAUCGACCCGUCUUGAAACACGGACCAAGGAGUCUAACAUGCCUGCGAGUAUUUGGGUGGAAAACCCGAGUGCGUAAUGAAAGUGAAAGUUGAGAUCCCUGUCAUGGGGAGCAUUGACGCCCGGACCAGACCUUUUGUGACGGAUCUGCGGUAGAGCAUGUAUGUUGGGACCCGAAAGAUGGUGAACUAUGCCUGAAUAGGGUGAAGCCAGAGGAAACUCUGGUGGAGGCUCGUAGCGAUUCUGACGUGCAAAUCGAUCGUCAAAUUUGGGUAUAGGGGCGAAAGACUAAUCGAACCAU
This 890-nucleotide ribosomal RNA is filed under the name Stropharia caerulea. RNAcentral describes it as "eukaryotic LSU rRNA". It matches the Rfam family "Eukaryotic large subunit ribosomal RNA", at positions 66 to 943 of the family's 3401-position model. Lineage: Eukaryota; Fungi; Basidiomycota; Agaricomycetes; Agaricales; Strophariaceae. The record is from RNAcentral.